GAACGAGAAAGUGGAGCAAUCCAUGAGUAAAGUGGCGACCGGGUGAGUAACACGUGACUAACCUGCCUUCGAGUGGGGGAUAACCUCGGGAAACCGGGGCUAAUACCGCAUAAUGCCUACGGGUUAAAGGAGCAAUUCGCUUGAAGAGGGGGUCGCGGCUGAUUAGCUAGUUGGCGGGGUAACGGCCCACCAAGGCGAUGAUCGGUAGCCGGCCUGAGAGGGCGCACGGCCACACUGGAACUGAAACACGGUCCAGACUCCUACGGGAGGCAGCAGUGGGGAAUUUUGCGCAAUGGGGGAAACCCUGACGCAGCAACGCCGCGUGGAGGAUGAAGUCCCUUGGGACGUAAACUCCUUUCGACCGGGACGAUGAUGACGGUACCGGUGGAAGAAGCCCCGGCUAACUUCGUG
This 411-nucleotide ribosomal RNA is filed under the name uncultured bacterium. RNAcentral describes it as "bacterial SSU rRNA". It matches the Rfam family "Bacterial small subunit ribosomal RNA", at positions 64 to 507 of the family's 1533-position model. The record is from RNAcentral.